RNAcentral lists this long non-coding RNA (443 nucleotides) under Pan troglodytes (chimpanzee). Its description in RNAcentral is "lincRNA". The record is from RNAcentral. Lineage: Eukaryota; Metazoa; Chordata; Mammalia; Primates; Hominidae.
AAUCCAGCCUGGGCAAUGGCGGGCGCCCCUCCCCCAGCCUCGCUGCCGCCUUGCAGUUUGAUCUCAGACUGCUGUGCUAGCAAUCAGGGAGAUUCCGUGGGUGUAGGACCCUCCGAGCCAGGUGUUACCGUGAGAAAAUAUCUUGAACUUCUGCUCUGUACUUCACCAUACAAGAAUUGAGCCUGGUGUUUUCUUUAAAUUAUUUUAUGAUUACUUAAAGCCAUUCUUUAUAAAUUUUGCACCUCUGCUGGUCAGGUGGCCUAACUUUGGAAGACUCAGACCUUCAUCUGUGACAGUUCUAUAGUCACAGUCGCUAUGCCUUCUCAGGUCCUGGCUGCUGUAUUAUUACAUUGAUUCUCAAAGUUGUACAAGAGAAUAUCAAAAGACACCAAAGGGGAUUAGGAUUAGUUACUGUUAAAAAUAUUCCUCCUGCUUUACGUUCU